AGAGUUUGAUCCUGGCUCAGGAUGCAUUCUGGCGGCGUGCCUAACACAUGCAAGUCGAGCGAGAAGCCACUGACUGAAACUUCGGUAGAAGGAUAUGGUGGAAAGCGGCGGACGGGUGAGUAACGCGUAGGCAACCUGCCCCUUACAGAGGGAUAGCCAUUGGAAACGAUGAUUAAAACCUCAUAACGCAUCCCCCUCACAUGGAGGGGAUGCCAAAGAUUCAUCGGUAAGGGAUGGGCCUGCGUCUGAUUAGCUAGUUGGCGGGGUAACGGCCCACCAAGGCGACGAUCAGUAGCCGACCUGAGAGGGUGAUCGGCCACAUUGGAACUGAGACACGGUCCAAACUCCUACGGGAGGCAGCAGUGGGGAAUAUUGCACAAUGGGCGAAAGCCUGAUGCAGCAACGCCGCGUGAGGGAUGAAGGCCUUCGGGUCGUAAACCUCUGUCCCUGGGGAAGAAACAAAUGACGGUACCCAUGGAGGAAGCCCCGGCUCACUACGUGCCAGCAGCCGCGGUAAUACGUAGGGGGCGAGCGUUAUCCGGAAUUAUUGGGCGUAAAGAGUGCGUAGGUGGUUACCUAAGCGCAGGGUCUAAGGCAAUGGCUCAACCAUUGUUCGCCCUGCGAACUGGGCUACUUGAGUGCAGGAGAGGAAAGCGGAAUUCCUAGUGUAGCGGUGAAAUGCGUAGAUAUUAGGAGGAACACCAGUGGCGAAGGCGGCUUUCUGGACUGUUACUGACACUGAGGCACGAAAGCGUGGGGAGCAAACAAGAUUAGAUACCCUGGUAGUCCACGCCGUAAACGAUGAGAAAUAGGUGUCGGGGCCGCAAGGCUUCCGGUGCCGCAGUUAACGCAUUAAGUGCUCCGCCUGGGGAGUACGCACGCAAGUGUGAAACUCAAAGGAAUUGACGGGGACCCGCACAAGCAGCGGAGCAUGUGGUUUAAUUCGAAGCAACGCGAGGAACCUUACCAAAUCUUGACAUCCCUCUGACCGGGACUUAACCGUCCCUUUCCUUCGGGACAGGGGAGACAGGUGGUGCAUGGUUGUCGUCAGCUCGUGUCGUGAGAUGUUGGGUUAAGUCCCGCAACGAGCGCAACCCUUAUGGUCAGUUACUACGCAAGAGGACUCUGGCCAGACUGCCGUUGACAAAACGGAGGAAGGUGGGGAUGACGUCAAAUCAUCAUGCCCUUUAUGACUUGGGCUACACACGUACUACAAUGGCGUUAAACAAAGAGAAGCAAGACCGCGAGGUGGAGCAAAACUCAGAAACAACGUCCCAGUUCGGACUGCAGGCUGCAACUCGCCUGCACGAAGUCGGAAUUGCUAGUAAUCGCAGAUCAGCAUGCUGCGGUGAAUACGUUCCCGGGCCUUGCACUCAACGCCCGUCA
This 1386-nucleotide ribosomal RNA is filed under the name uncultured bacterium. RNAcentral's name for it is "bacterial SSU rRNA". It matches the Rfam family "Bacterial small subunit ribosomal RNA". The record is from RNAcentral.